Molecule: unclassified non-coding RNA, 19 nt
Filed under: Mus musculus (house mouse)
Lineage: Eukaryota; Metazoa; Chordata; Mammalia; Rodentia; Muridae
Description: oocyte_clustered_small_RNA7754
Source: RNAcentral
CAGCACAUGUCACUUCCCA